Molecule: transfer RNA, 93 nt
Filed under: Erysipelotrichaceae bacterium
Lineage: Bacteria; Bacillati; Bacillota; Erysipelotrichia; Erysipelotrichales; Erysipelotrichaceae
Description: tRNA-Ser
Rfam family: tRNA
About the family: Transfer RNA (tRNA) molecules are approximately 80 nucleotides in length. Their secondary structure includes four short double-helical elements and three loops (D, anti-codon, and T loops).
Source: RNAcentral
GAAGAAGUACUCAAGUGGUUGAAGAGGAGGCCCUGCUAAGGCCUUAGGUCGGGUUUUUCCGGCGCGAGGGUUCAAAUCCCUCCUUCUUCGCCA